GUCCAUACCGUAAACGAUGGGAACUAGGUGUCUGGGGACUAACCCCCUGGGCGCCGUAGCUAACGCGUUAAGUUCCCCGCCUGGGGAGUACGAUCGCAAGGUUGAAACUCAAAGGAAUUGACGGGGGCCCGCACAAGCGGUGGAGCAUGUGGUUUAAUUCGAUGCAACGCGAAGAACCUUACCUGGGCUUGAACUGAGUGUGACCGUGGUAGAGAUAUCAUUUUCGGAGCAAUCCGACACAUUUAGAGGUGCUGCAUGGCUGUCGU
This 266-nucleotide ribosomal RNA is filed under the name uncultured bacterium. RNAcentral describes it as "partial 16S ribosomal RNA". It matches the Rfam family "Bacterial small subunit ribosomal RNA", at positions 793 to 1055 of the family's 1533-position model. The record is from RNAcentral.